This 1197-nucleotide long non-coding RNA is filed under the name Homo sapiens (human). RNAcentral describes it as "HSALNT0308205". Lineage: Eukaryota; Metazoa; Chordata; Mammalia; Primates; Hominidae. The record is from RNAcentral.
ACACACAGGUCGCAGCCCCUGCCGCGGAGGAUCCCCAGGAAGAUGCUGGGGACGCUCUGAGCAUCGGCCUUUCUUUACCCCCGACUCCCUGGAGCUUGGUCUCGGGAUGCCAACUUGGGGCACGGAGGCGACGGGCUGCUCCGAAGCUGGAGGGUUUCUGCUUGGGUCAGAGGGAUCACGACCUCAGCAGAGCCAGGAGAGGUUGGGUGACACCCACUGCGUAUUGCACUUGACUCAAAACUGCCCUCGGCCUGCGGAAGAGGCGAGGGCAAGAAGCCUGGUGGCGGGUCAAACCUUCACCCUAUUAUUUUCUAUCAUUUUUUAUGCCCAUAUAUUUGUUAAAUGUAUGGCUGCUAUACACCAACAGCUUAUUCUACAAGAAGUGCCCCCGAGGAGGAUUGGGUUAAGCUUUGCAAAUUUGGCUUCCCAGGUAAUGCGCUUCAUUAUUCUGCUCCCGACUUACCCACCACACCAGUGGGUACCCGGAGCAGCACCCACUUGGCAGAACUGAUGACUGCUUGGGCCCAGCGGAGUGCGCAUUGCGCUAACACGCGCACGGGAAUUGCACCCUUGCCGGAGCCUCCGCACCGUGCGCCCUUCAAAGAGCUGGCGACCCCGCUCACGUACAACAUCACUCAAACAACCCUAUUACUUCAGUAGCAAUGAACUGUCUCUGGAUUUUAUUAAGCAUCUCACUAGUUCCUUUUCUUCAGCUGUAUGGCACCCUGUCUUCCUGUACACCAGAGGCUCCUCAGCUGGGUAAGGUGAGCCAACGUUACCAGGAGUAUAUGCUGAGAGGCCAUUUCAAAGUCUUUCAUAGAAGGCUGUGCUUGGGCAAGUAGAACUUUUCAUCAUACAGUCCCAGAGAUGUGAAGUUAUCAAGGUCAGAGAAGAGGAAAAGAGACUCAGAGAAACUGUGUUCUCUAGUCUUUCAUUCGGGAACAAAUGGUGUCGUACCAAAUGGCUGAAAAGAUCCCAGGCUUACUCUGAGAAACAUCUCUCUCUUCUGAAUUAAACUUGCACAGUGGCUAACAGUGUUUUGUUUGGUGUUGACAAAGUAAUAAAACGUUACCGUUUCUCUUUCUCUACGAUGAUGUGGUUUUAUGAAAGAAAAUGGUUACACCUUGUUGAGUUGGGCAAUAUUCUCCAUCCAGUUUAUAAAUUCCUAUGCUGUUCUUACUGUAGUCAGCUUUUUCU